GUUUCCAUAGUGUAGUGGUUAUAACGUUCCCUAACAUCGAAAAGGUCCCAGUUCGAAACUGGGGAAACA
RNAcentral lists this transfer RNA (69 nucleotides) under Alosa alosa (allis shad). RNAcentral's name for it is "tRNA-OTHER". The record is from RNAcentral. Lineage: Eukaryota; Metazoa; Chordata; Actinopteri; Clupeiformes; Clupeidae.